Molecule: ribosomal RNA, 2890 nt
Filed under: human metagenome
Description: bacterial LSU rRNA
Rfam family: Bacterial large subunit ribosomal RNA
Source: RNAcentral
AGAGCAAGUGGUGGAUGCCUUGGCUAGUAGAGGCGAUGAAAGACGUGCCAGGCUGCGAUAAGUCUCGGGGAGCCGUCAAGGGGCUUUGAUCCGGGAAUUUCUGAAUGGGGCAACCCAACUAAUAGAGAUAUUAGUUACCGUAUAACGGAGCGAACGAGGGGAAUUGAAACAUCUUAGUACCCUCAGGAAAAGAAAUCAAAAGAGAUUACGCUAGUAGCGGCGAGCGAACGCGUAAGAGGGCAAACCACUAGUUUACUAGUGGGGUUGUAGGACUGCAAUAUAGACUAAACUUAGCUAAUAGAACAACCUGGAAAGGUUAGGCACAGAGGGUGAUACCCCCGUAUAUGAAAGCUUUGUUUUACUUAGCAGUAUCCUGAGUAGGGCGGAACACGUGAUAUUCUGUCUGAAGCUGGGUAGACCACUAUCCAACCCUAAAUACUACUACUAGACCGAUAGUGCACAAGUACCGUGAGGGAAAGGUGAAAAGAACUGAGGUGAUCAGAGUGAAAUAGAACCUGAAACCAUUUGCUUACAAUCAUUCAGAGCCCUAUGAUUUAUCAGGGUGAUGGACUGCCUUUUGCAUAAUGAGCCUGCGAGUUGUGAUGUCUGGCAAGGUUAAGGAAACCCGGAGCCGUAGCGAAAGCGAGUCUUAAUAGGGCGUUUAGUCAGACGUUGCAGACCCGAAACGAUGUGAUCUAUCCAUGAGCAGGUUGAAACCGGUGUAAGAGCCGGUGGAGGACCGAACCCGCUAGCGUUGAAAAGCUAUGGGAUGACUUGUGGAUAGGGGUGAAAGGCCAAUCAAACAUCGUGAUAGCUGGUUCUCUCCGAAAUAUAUUUAGGUAUAGCGUCAUGUAGUAACACUAGGGGGUAGAGCACUGAAUGGGCUAGGGCAUACACCAAUGUACCAAACCCUAUCAAACUCCGAAUACCUAGUGUGUAAUCAUGGCAGUCAGGCGGCGAGUGAUAAAAUCCGUCGUCGAGAGGGGAACAACCCAGACUAACAGCUAAGGUCCCUAAAUCUCAUUUAAGUGGAAAACGAUGUGGAGUUACUUAAACAACCAGGAGGUUGGCUUAGAAGCAGCCAUCCUUUAAAGAAAGCGUAAUAGCUCACUGGUCUAGUGAUUCUGCGCGGAAAAUAUAACGGGGCUAAAAUGAGUACCGAAGCUUUAGACUUAGUUUUACUAAGUGGUAGGAGAGCGUUGUAUUUGCGUUGAAGGUAUACCGGUAAGGAGUGCUGGAGCGAAUACAAGUGAGCAUGCAGGCAUGAGUAGCGAUAAUUGGGGUGAGAAUCCCCAACGCCGUAAACCCAAGGUUUCCUACGCGAUGCUCGUCAUCGUAGGGUUAGCCGGGUCCUAAGCAAAGUCCGAAAGGGGUAUGCGAUGGAAAAUUGGUUAAUAUUCCAAUGCCAACUAUAAUGUGCGAUGGAAGGACGCUUAGAGUUAGAGGAGCCAGUGGAUGGUAUGCUGGUCGAAAGGCGCAGGUUGGAAUUCAGGCAAAUCCGAAUUCCUUUAAGCCGAGGCCUUACAGGUGCGUGAAAUUCUUCGGAAUGAAUCGUAAAUCCUUGAUACUGUCGAGCCAAGAAAAGUUUCUAAGUUUAGUUAUAGUUGCCCGUACCGUAAACCGACACAGGUGGGUGGGAUGAGUAUUCUAAGGCGCGUGGAAGAACUCUCUUCAAGGAACUCUGCAAAAUAGCACCGUAUCUUCGGUAUAAGGUGUGCCUAACUUUGUGAAGGAUUUACUCCGUAAGCAUUGAAGGUUACAACAAAGAGUCCCUCCCGACUGUUUACCAAAAACACAGCACUCUGCUAACUCGUAAGAGGAUGUAUAGGGUGUGACGCCUGCCCGGUGCUCGAAGGUUAAUUGAUGACGUUAGCUCUGCGAAGCGUUUGAUCGAAGCCCGAGUAAACGGCGGCCGUAACUAUAACGGUCCUAAGGUAGCGAAAUUCCUUGUCGAUUAAAUAUCGACCUGCAUGAAUGGCGUAACGAGAUGGGAGCUGUCUCGAAGAGGGAUCCAGUGAAAUUGUAGUGGAGGUGAAAAUUCCUCCUACCCGCGGCAAGACGGAAAGACCCCGUGGACCUUUACUACAGCUUGACACUGCUAUUGGGAUAAAAAUGUGCAGGAUAGGCGGGAGGCUUUGAUCCAUAGACGCCAGUUUAUGGUGAGCCAUUGUUGAGAUACCGCUCUUUUUUAUUCUGAUAGCUAACUAGCUUGAGUUAUCCUCAAGUAGGACAAUGUCUGGUGGGUAGUUUGACUGGGGCGGUCGCCUCCCAAAAUGUAACGGAGGCUUACAAAGGUUGGCUCAGAACGGUUGGAAAUCGUUCGUAGAGUAUAAAGGCAUAAGCCAGCUUAACUGCGAGACAUACACGUCAAGCAGAGACGAAAGUCGGUCUUAGUGAUCCGGUGGUUCUGUGUGGAAGGGCCAUCGCUCAAAGGAUAAAAGGUACCCCGGGGAUAACAGGCUGAUCUCCCCCAAGAGCUCACAUCGACGGGGAGGUUUGGCACCUCGAUGUCGGCUCAUCGCAUCCUGGGGCUGGAGCAGGUCCCAAGGGUUGGGCUGUUCGCCCAUUAAAGCGGUACGCGAGCUGGGUUCAGAACGUCGUGAGACAGUUCGGUCCCUAUCUGCCGUGGGCGCAAGAAGAUUGAGGAGAGUUGACCCUAGUACGAGAGGACCGGGUCGAACCAACCACUGGUGUACGAGUUGUCCUGCCAAGGGCACCGCUCGGUAGCUAUGUUGGGAUGUGAUAACUGCUGAAAGCAUCUAAGCAGGAAGCCAACUCCAAGAUGAAUCUUCUUUUAAGAGCUCAUAUAGACUAUGUGUUUGAUAGGCUGGGUGUGUAAUGGAUGAAAGUCCUUUAGCUGACCAGUACUAAUAGCUCGUCUGCUUAUCUU